Molecule: transfer RNA, 91 nt
Filed under: Stachybotrys chartarum IBT 40288
Lineage: Eukaryota; Fungi; Ascomycota; Sordariomycetes; Hypocreales; Stachybotryaceae
Description: tRNA-Glu (CTC) (tRNA-Glu-CTC-2-1)
Source: RNAcentral
UUCAGACUGGUGUAAAUGGUAGCAUAAUCGGUUCUCACCCUGUAGGGCCCUUCGGGGGGUGGUAGUUCUGGUUCGAGUCCAGGGUUUGGAC